GACGAACGCUGGCGGCGUGCCUAAUACAUGCAAGUAGAACGCUGAAGGAGGAGCUUGCUCUUCUGGAUGAGUUGCGAACGGGUGAGUAACGCGUAGGUAACCUGCCUGGUAGCGGGGGAUAACUAUUGGAAACGAUAGCUAAUACCGCAUAAGAGUAGAUGUUGCAUGACAUUUACUUAAAAGGUGCAAUUGCAUCACUACCAGAUGGACCUGCGUUGUAUUAGCUAGUUGGUGGGGUAACGGCUUACCAAGGCGACGAUACAUAGCCGACCUGAGAGGGGGAUCGGCCACACUGGGACUGAGACACGGCCCAGACUCCUACGGGAGGCAGCAGUAGGGAAUCUUCAGCAAUGGACGGAAGUCUGACCGAGCAACGCCGCGGGAGGGGAGAAGGGUUUCGGAUCGUAAAGCUCGGUUGUAAGAGAAGAACGAGUGUGAGAGUGGAAAGUUCACACUGUGACGGUAUCUUACCAGAAAGGGACGGCUAACUACGUG
RNAcentral lists this ribosomal RNA (495 nucleotides) under uncultured bacterium. Its description in RNAcentral is "partial 16S ribosomal RNA". It matches the Rfam family "Bacterial small subunit ribosomal RNA", at positions 28 to 507 of the family's 1533-position model. The record is from RNAcentral.